Molecule: long non-coding RNA, 2641 nt
Organism: Tyto alba (common barn owl)
Lineage: Eukaryota; Metazoa; Chordata; Aves; Strigiformes; Tytonidae
Exons: 3
Source: RefSeq, a predicted model, not a curated record
AGAUUGCUGACAUCUAGCAGAGAAAACACUAACGACUCAGCUGUCAGUAGCGCUCAACUGUUUCUUCUUCUCUGUGUGCAGACACCGGGGUUAUGUGAUCAAAACCAGGGAACAGGUAAAAGACUUUGGCAACAGAUAUUGCUGUACAUCAAAGAUGCUUUUGAAGGAAUCAAGCUGUGGAAGUUCUGAAUCUUCAUCUCAUAGUUAAUUUGAUAAUAAGUGGAUACUUAAUGCUUCAACAUGUACUGCUCUGUAUGAACUGUGCAAGAGACAUCUGUGUUUGUGCACCAACGUUUUCAGUCCCCUCUCAGGUAAGAUCCUCACUGGAUUUAAUUUAUUUCACAGAGUUAGAUUAAUAUUUUCAGCUGUGAAUUUGACUUUACAGCUGUACAAUAUACUCAAAUUCAGUAAAUACAUCCCUCUCACUGCCAUCGAAGCUAAUGGCAAAACUGUGACUUGUUUCCAAAGGAACUGGCCAGUAAUUUUACAUUAUGUAUCAUGAUUGGUCUGAUGUUAGGUACUGUAUUCUGAGAAAAAUCCACUAUUUAUUUACCCUAGAGUUAAUGUUCCAGUAUUUCAUAACCUUUCAUUAAACUCCAUGCAUCUUUCUCAUCUUUUGCCUUCUUUUAAUCACAUCUAAAUUGGUACUGUGCAGUGUUUGUCUUGCUACCUGCUACUUGCUCAACAGAAAUUAAUUUCACUCAAUGGAAAUUAAGUGAUUGCUUUCCUUUGUGAUUUGUAAGUUCUUCCAGGCAUAAUUUUCCUUUCUGCCAACCACCCAUAUUCAUUUGUUAACAUAGCUCCUUUUGUAAAAUGAAUAUUGAUUUAGAAAUUCCCAAUUAGAAAAUGUAUGCCCUGCUUUUUUUUAUCUUGAAUAUGAUUGUGGAGUGACUAAUGUGCUGAAACUAUAAAGUCAGGCCAUAUAAUUUAUUAAUCUGUAAUGACACAACUCAUCUAGAUCAGGAGAGAGGUAGACAAUAUUCCUGUUGACUCAGACCUCCGACUGCUGGCAAACAGAAGUAUCCCAUGGAUUGCUUUCUGUUAAAGCAUCACAUUUAGCAAUGUGGUUCAGCAUCUUGCCUCUCCAUAUCUAAUGUGGGAUUAUUUUGCCAGAGGCCCAGCAAAUCCUGUUCUUUCCUUGAAUAGGUACUCUACUGAUGGCUUGCAGUUUAGCAGAAAAAUCUUGGAGGGGCAUUUAUUACCACCCUAUGAAUACAUGACUGCAGUGUGCUGUCAGGCAGGAUGGAAUGAAAGGAAAUUGGUUUAAACCAUCUAAAAGGAAUAUUAAUAGGUCAUUAAUCUGUACCCUAGGGUACCUCCUCAUUUAACAUAUUAGAAAGGGUUUUUUACCUUUUAAACAGUCAAUUUUUUAAUGUAUUUUUUUGUAUAAACAAAUUCUGAAGAAGGCAGAAUAAAGAGAAUAGUUAUAAUUUGAUUGGCCUGGAUUGACAAGAUGGAAUGGGACAGAGGGAAGGGAUAAACUGUUAAAUAUGGGGAAAAUCAGCAUGUUCAAUGCAUAUAAGAAAAAAAAAAUAAAUAUUAGGAAAUUAUGUUGCAAAAAAGUUAUAAAGGCAACUUUUCAUGAGAAGUUGGGAGGCAAUAUUGUUGAAGAAAGUCAAUCAUACAUUAGAUAUCCACUUACAGUGUUUGAUGAGAAAUAUUGAUAUUGAAGUCAAUUCUGAUAGAAUAUGUGAGUCUUGAAGUUGUUUCCAGGUUUAUUAUAAAAUUGCAAUACUUUGUUAGUAGUAUAAUACAGAGAUCUAGGGUGAGUACAGAAAGUCACAGACUAUUAAAACAGAUUAAAAAAUUGCAUUAAUAAAGUCCUGUAAUUGAGUAAUCUUUUUUUAAUCUCCACUAAUGAAACUUGGUCCAUGAUACCAACUGUGUAAAAGGCUGAGGACAGAGAAGAAAGUGAAAAGGAAGAACUAUAAUUGUCAUCCUCUCAAUUGCAGAUAUUGCUUAACAUUUUCACAAAGGAGCAGAUACAAAUCAGUAACCAGGAGCAAGUAGGAAAGGUUGAUGUGACCCUUCAACAGAACUGAUGGAACAGUGGCAAGUCAUGCUUAGAUACCCAGACAAAUAACAAAAGCCUGAACUUCUUUUUUCUUUUCAUUAAUUUAGCUUGCUCUACACUAGAUCAAAAUACUUCCUGGAAGGACACCAGCCUGUGGACUUUUACAGAUAAUUUCAUUGAUGUUUCAAAGAAUUGUUGCAAUAAAACACAAACUUUAUCUGCAGUCAGCCUACUUGCAUUAUAUUUGCCUCAUGAAGUAGUUCUACAAGUGACAGAAAGUGCUCACACUGGCUGUGAUUUAUUGCCAAAAUUGUUCUGAGGAACCCAGCUGGCAGACCGGGUUUCUUUCAAGAACAAAACAGAAAGGUUCAUGUAAGAAAGAAUCAUGUAGGCACAGGAAGAAUCUCUGUGAAGUUGCCUGCAGUGGUUGUGAAGUAUGCCCAGCUUCCCGCCCCAGAGACUGCGUCCGGGUGAGGCUCAGACCACAUCAUCCCCCUAGGAGAUUGCUGCUUUGCCUGAAAAUAGGUUGUAAGACUUUCAAGAAUGUGUUCAAAUAUACUGGAACCUGCCUUGCUGGUUACAUUUUUCAGUUAAUAAAGAACACUCAAGGCUCAUCUUAAAAACAUA